GUUGGAGUGAAUUCCAGUUGCCUAUCUCAGAUGUUGUAAUGUGGUUCAAGAAAGGACCUGAAGAAAAGACGCCGAGAUUGUCUUCUGUGCUUCGAAAAAUGGUAUAAGAAGGGGAAGCUGGUGAGAGAGAAUUUGAAAAUAAAUAGUUGGAUGUACCUGCUGCUGGGUGUCACCUCAGGGAUGUGUGCAGCACCUGUUACCUCUGGACUGGCUUUAUGGUGAUAUAAAAUCCCGUUCUGUGACAUGUGGCUGGUGUUAUUCACUUUGUAAUUCUUUGGGGAAGCAUUCGUUUGCUGGGGACCAAAUAGAUGUUUGGCCUUCUCCAAGGCCAUCCUGCAGACAUAUAUGGUAGCAAACACUCAGCAAAAAGAUAUUUAUUUGAUUUUUUUUGCUUUCUAUGUUUUUCAAAACUGCAAGGAGAAGAAGAAAAUAAACAAACACAGGUCUCUGCCUUGAGGUCCUAAAAGCUGCAAAUGAGACCUAUCUUAUGAGGAAAUAAAAAAGAGAU
Molecule: long non-coding RNA, 508 nt
Filed under: Pongo abelii (Sumatran orangutan)
Lineage: Eukaryota; Metazoa; Chordata; Mammalia; Primates; Hominidae
Description: lincRNA
Source: RNAcentral